This is a long non-coding RNA of Gasterosteus aculeatus aculeatus (three-spined stickleback), 724 nucleotides long. The record is from Ensembl. NCBI's taxonomy places the organism in Eukaryota, Metazoa, Chordata, Actinopteri, Perciformes, Gasterosteidae.
CUUUUCUGCUCCUCCAGUCAAUUUUGUGGAGGUGGGGGGGGGGGGUCGAAUCGAAGGGCAGCAUCAGGGGAACGGACAAAGAUGUUACCCUAGAGAGAAAAAAGAUCUUUGCUGGCUUGAAAAGCACAAAAAGCAGUUAUCGUAGGAAGUCAACGCAUCCCCAGUUCAAGCAGGGAUAGAUCAAUUAUUCCCGAUAAGAGGAAGCUCAUUUUCAGUAUUCAGAGUGACUGGUUGGUUUUUUGUUCGCUCUGCCCCUCAAUCGGCUUUGAGUCGGAUGAAAAUGUUGCAGAUGUGCCUCAUCUGUAUUUAAAAGGCGGCGUAUCAUCAACCAACAACUGAGUCGCGGCUGGGUAUUGGUUCACACCCGGGCGGGACACCCCAUCACAAAGCCGACGGGACUCAGUGCAAUCAAGCAAUCGGCCAGACGCUGAGCACAGCGGCCUCUCGUCAUUGACAGUUCUUCUGGUUUUCCUACUCAAAAGCAAACAACAUACAACACAGUGCUCCGUUGUUUCCACGGAGAUGCUACAAUUAUUAUUCGUAUGAUUAUUAUUUGUUUGCCUAGCUGCAUGUUCCCUUUCUCUGCAGUACGUUGGGACAAGUGGCAAAGAGGCAGCAUGUUAGCUGCUGUGUGAUUGAGUGAGUGACCUUCAAGUCACAAUAAAGCCCAUUAUGUCAUCUUUACGGGAGAUUGUCGCCAUCAUUUCAUACAUUUGCAUCGGAC